Molecule: non-coding RNA, 137 nt
Filed under: zebrafish metagenome
Description: FMN riboswitch (RFN element)
Rfam family: FMN riboswitch aptamer (RFN element)
About the family: The RFN element is a highly conserved domain that is found frequently in the 5'-untranslated regions of prokaryotic mRNAs that encode for flavin mononucleotide (FMN) biosynthesis and transport proteins. This element is a metabolite-dependent riboswitch that directly binds FMN in the absence of proteins.
Source: RNAcentral
AUUCUCAGGGCGGGGCGAAAUUCCCCACCGGCGGUAAGCGGGCUUUCCCGCAAGCCCGCGAGCGCCGUCCGCAAGGCCGGGUCAGCAGAUCAGGUGCGAUUCCUGGGCCGACGGUCACAGUCCGGAUGAAAGAGAAU